Molecule: non-coding RNA, 293 nt
Organism: Pelobates cultripes (western spadefoot toad)
Lineage: Eukaryota; Metazoa; Chordata; Amphibia; Anura; Pelobatidae
Source: the annotation of a GenBank genome assembly
UUCUAUUGCUCCUGUCCUCUGGCCAUAAGUAGUAAGGGAGCAAUCCAAGAACCGGGUGGGCUGCUGCAGUAUCUCAUGAAAAUGUUCAGCUCCCAUGGACCUUCUUCAACACCCAGGCAUCUCACUACUACCUCACCUGCUACUGCAGUAGACAUCUCACUACUAAAUCUUCCUACCUUGACACCAAGAACACAGAUUGUCACCUUCUUCCUAGCUAAGCUGGAUUACUCACAAGGUGUCCUAUUGUGUGUCAAGUGUUAGAAGGUACUUGGCAAAGCUUUGCCCAUAAUUCC